CAGUGUAACAGUAUUGGACUGCUUUGGUUUUCCAUGUAGUUCCUACACUGAUCCUUUCUGUAACUGGAGUGUUGAAAAAUGUCUUCACACAGAAGUAAAAUGGACAAGUCAACUGCCAUUCUCUGGAGUUGUGAGUUGAACGCCCAGCAGAAGUCACACAAGGUUGAAAUUACAGAUGAUGAAGUUGCUGAGCAUCGACUGUCCUUAAAGACGAUAUGUUUGGGUGCUGGUGCCAAGGAUGAACUAACCAUUGUGGAGAUUGUUCCGGAAGACGAGAGCCCACCGGUCCCUAUUGCCACACUGAAGCUCUCCGUUUUGCCGAUGACCACAUUUUAUGGCAUUGAGCUGACCCCUCCCAUCAGCUUCAGGCUAAAAAGUGGAUCUGGUCCUGUCUACAUAGCAGUAGAGAACAUGAUCAUAGAUGAUGAUACAUGGGGGGAGGAAGAAGAGGAGGAAGGAGAGGAAGAGGAAGAGGAGGAGGUGGAUGAGGCUGAAGAUGAGGAUGAAUCUCCACCCAAAAAGACAAAGAGACCUGCAUCCACCAAGAAAGCUGGGCUUUCAAAGAAGAAGCGAUUGGACACAGAAAAGGAAGAAGAGGAAUCUGAUGUUUUAAUGGCAGUUAAAAAGGUUGGUCAUGUCUCAGUCUUCUGCCAUACUUUAAAAUUGUCAUAAAUGCUUUGUGAAACUGUGGGUUGUAAUAGUUUCUUUAAAAUGUUCCUGCAGGGAUCUCUUUGGAGCUAGAAAUUGUUUGGUUUGUUUUGCUUGCAAAAGUUGUCGAGGCUGAAGUUUCUUCCUAAACCAACAAAGCAACCUGAUAAUAUUUCAGUGGUGUCUGUACUGUUUUUGAACCUUGGCCUGUGAGGAACGUUUUGUUUAGCUGUCUGCGUGUGUACGGUUGAAUUUGAAUUUCCAAUUCUCCUAUCAGGAGAGCUUUGAUCACUUUGCUGUUUGGACUUGCUGAAGUUUUUACUGAAGUUUGGACUUAAUACCAAGUUUUCUAUUGGAAGUUCUCUUGUAGUAAAAAUAUUAGUGCAGAGCAUGAAUAAGCUGCACUUGCAAUGAAGAUUCAGUGAUUUUUCCCAUCACGGAAUGCCCUCGAGCUCAGUGACUUCCCUUGCCACGAGAGGGCAGUGGAGUCAAUCGCAAGAAGCGUCACAGCAGGGGCAGUUAUUGUCAGCUCCAUGAACUUAAACCCAUCUUCAAUUUAUUAAAAAUAUUAACAUUGUCAUUCAACUGUAUGCAUAUACCACUAAAUGAGGUUACGUUCAUCUGGACUAAGGAACACAACAGUACAUACAAUCACAUGAUGCAGUAAGUAACAUUACUACAAAUAAUUAGUGUUUUCCAGAAGAUUGAAAUUUAGCACAAGGUGUGUUUGUGACAAGUUUUAAAAAGUAAACAGUCUAACAUUUCUGGUGCUUCAUGCUUGAUGAGACCUGGGUGAUGUCUGAGUUCAGUGGUCUGAUAUAAUUUAAUAUUAAAUAUUAAUAAAUUUAAUCAUUGGCAGUUUAAAUCGCAUUGUGUUUAUAGACACAGGCACUUUCUCACUAAUGUUGGGUGAACUGGUCUGUACCUGGUUUAGAUUGACUACUUCCAGGAAUCAUUCUGUAAUCUGUCAGCCUCUGAAUUUUAUAAUCAUCUCACCUAUUUUCACUGUUUUCUAUUGUUCAUCUCGGUCUUGUAUCCAGAACUACUUGUAAUGCUCAAUGUCACUGCUAUCUGUGUGUCUCCAACUAAGUUAAUCAGGAUGGCAGGGUUGAGGGAUAAUCAUGAUGGAAUGACAGUACAAACUCGAUGGGCUGAACAAUCUAAUUCUGCUCCUAUGUCUUGUGAUCUAAAUAUCAUUUCAAUUUUUUUUAAGGAAAAAGAUUCCAGUAAAGUUAAAGCCGCAAAAAAACUAACUGCCUGUUAGGAGAAAUACUGAAAGGUAAGAUCUUUGGGGUUAAUCUGGCAGGUAAACUGUGUUCAAAGAAGAUGAGGUUGUGUGCAUUGAAGUGAACAGUGAAAUGUACUGUUCGCAUCAACGAUCAACACAGUCUAAGGACGUGCUGGGGGCAGCCCGCAAGUGUCACCAGGCUUUGGGCACCAACGUAGCAUGCCCACAACUUACUAACUCUAGCACACUUACCUUUGGAAUGUGGGAGGAAACCAGAGCACCUGGAGGAAACUUGCAUGGUCACACAGAACAUACAAACUCGUUACAGUGGCAGGAAUCGAACAUUGACUGCUGGCCAUGGGAAGUGUCACGCUAACUGCUACACUACUGUUGCCCCUCGGGCUGUUAGAAUGUCUGUCUGCAAUCGGAGUUGAGGUAGGAUAAGCUGUCACUGGAAGUUGAGGCUGCUGACUGAAAGUCCAGCUGGGUUUGAAAUCACUGCUGGGAAUGUAAUGCGAAAUGAUCUGAUGGGGCUUGGUAGCUUUCUCCAGUGCACCAUUAAGAGAUGCACUCUAAAUCCUGGGCCACAUUUCACCCUGGCAUUUCACCACUGCAGACUGGGAGAUCGUUUCGCCGAACACCGGCGCUCAGUCCUCCAGCAGUGGUGGGAUCUCCCUGUGGCCACACACUUCAAUUCCACAGACCACUCCCACUCCGACAUGUCUGUCCAUGGCCUCCUCUACCGUCAAGAUGAGGCCACACGCAGGUCGAUGGAGCAAUACCUUAUCUCCCGCCUAGGUAGUCUCCUACCUGCCAGCAUGAACAUUCAACUCGCAGACUUCUGAUACCCCUGCCCCCCUUACCCCCAUCCCUAUCUAUUAUUUUAGUCUGGUUCUCUUUCUCUCUUUUCCCCCCUCACUAUAAUCUCCCCCCCCCCCUCCAGCCCUACCUUUCUUUCUCUUUUAUUUCCCAUAAUUCUCCACCUUCCCCCUAGCCCAUUUCCCUCCAACCUAUCACUUCCUAGCUCUCUACUCCAUCCCUCUCCCCCCUCGACCAUCCCAUGUUACUUCACUCCUGAUGAAGGGUUUCGGCCCGAAACGUCGUCACUACCUCCUCCCAUAGAUUCUGUCUGGCCUGCUGAGUUCUGCCAGCAUUUUGUGUUUUUAUUUAUCUCCAGCAUCUGCAGAUUUACUCGUGUCACCCUGGCUUGCUAUUUGCUAUGUAUUGGUGAUCUUGCCACUGGAGUCCCUCAAAUCAAUCCCAGUCAAGUGUUGUUCUUGGAACCACCAUCCCACCACAGCUGGGAAGGUUGGCAAGGGAGACUUUCACUUUAAUACUGCAACUGGGCUGAUGAGUGACUGAGCCCACUCCAGGUCCUCGUUCCCUGCCUAAUGUCAUUCUAAGUGGGAGACUGAAUGACAUCUCUCCACAAACUUAUCCUGUCCUUGUAGAUGUUACAGCAUUCACUUCUCUACAGGAGAACCCUGAGCUAAGGUACAGUCCCUCACCUUACACCUUUGUCAUUGUUUAAAUUUUAAGUCUCAUAAUUUCAUUCGAAUUUGAUUAUAUCCUUGUGUAUACCAGGGGACUUAAUUUUAAAAAGCAAAUACAAGGAAAUCUGCAGAUGCUGGAAAUUCAAGUCACACACACAAAAUGCUGGUGGAACACAGCAGGCCAGGCAGCAUUUAGAGGGAGAAGCACUGUCGACGUUUCGGGCCGAGACCCUUCGUCAGGACUAACUGAAAGAAAAAAAAGAUAGUGACCCAAGGCCAGGUUUUCACAAGUCAUCUUUGCAAGGAUGUUGGAAGAGAAUAUAUUGAAAUAAAAUUGGACUUUGCUAAUUCUCACCCUAGUUGUUGCACAGAAAGCUAAUCAUGUUGCAGACAAAUGGAUAUCCAAGCCUUCACUGCUAUUAGAUGAUGGAAAAGUACUUAAAAUAU
Molecule: RNA transcript, 3816 nt
Organism: Hypanus sabinus (Atlantic stingray)
Lineage: Eukaryota; Metazoa; Chordata; Chondrichthyes; Myliobatiformes; Dasyatidae
Gene name: nucleoplasmin-like
Exons: 10
Source: RefSeq, a predicted model, not a curated record